Molecule: long non-coding RNA, 933 nt
Organism: Brassica oleracea var. oleracea
Lineage: Eukaryota; Viridiplantae; Streptophyta; Magnoliopsida; Brassicales; Brassicaceae
Exons: 4
Source: RefSeq, a predicted model, not a curated record
UAAUGAAUAGGUUUUCGUUUUCGAACCAAAUAAAAUGCCCACGCCAAGUCGAGAAAUCACGUGGAACGUUCGAUCUUGAUCUAAAACCAAAGCCAGCAAGCUUCUGUGUACAUCUAAUUAUCGUAGAAGCAAGAUAAUCUCCUAUCAAUAAAUAGUACAGUCUUCCUAUUCCCCCACCCAAAUCUAUCUCUAGAAUCAAAAUCUUCAACCCAUGUCAUCUGAUUCUCCGAGAAAACCAGAAGCUCAGUAUCUGCCUCUGGGAUCUCAACAUGGGCCAAAAGCUCAGUAAGUAUCUGCCAUUUGCUUUAGGGAUUCGUUUGUCUCCUCAUCGACCAGAUGAGACCACGGAAGGAACUUCUUCACAACCUUGUUUCAUUGGGACCAUUACGAAAGGUUUGGUGGAUUCAUCGAAGAAUGCUGUCAAGGCAGUACAGGUCAAGGCUCGACAUGCUGUUUCCCAGAACAAAAGAAGAUACCAGGUCCACUUAACUUAUACAAUUGAUUGCAUAUGCUAUGCCAAGCUGCUUAGGAAGGAGGGUUUGGAUUUGGAUUUGACUUACAUAACCCAGAACAUUAUUGCAAUGGGGUUUCCUGCUGGUCUGGUGAUAUGAGCUCUGGCUUUUUUGGAUAUGUUGAGGGUUUCUACCGCAACCAGAUGGAACAAGUUAUUACCUUUCUUGAAACUCGACACAAGGGAAAAUACAAAGUUUACAAUCUUUGUUCAGAGAGGUUGUAUGAUGUAUAUCGCUAUUUGAGGGAAAGGUGGCCAGUUUCCCAUUUGAUGACCAUAAUUGCCCACCAAUCCAUUUGAUUACAUCAUUUUGCCAAAGAGCAUAUUCCUGGUUAAAGGAGGACAUAGAGAAUGUUGUGGCUGGUCACUGUAAGGCUGGAAUGGCAAGGACCGGGCUCAUGAUAUGUAGUCUUCUGCUAUAU